UCGUGCUAGACGGGGAACUAGCGGUGCCCUGUAACCCGCAAUCCGCUCUAGCGGGGUCGAAUUCCCACUGGCGGUCCGUCUGGAGGAGACCGGAUUUUAAACCAGUGGCGAUGAAGGUUAGGUCUUGCGCAAUUUACGCACGCCCAACCCCGCCAGGACCGGAAGGUAGCAACGGUAAGCGAAAGCGGAAUGUGCCGCAGGAGAGCCUAACUGGAGCAGGCUGUUUAAAGUCCGCUCCAAAAGAGGAACAAAAGUGGGUGCACGA
RNAcentral lists this signal recognition particle RNA (265 nucleotides) under candidate division Zixibacteria bacterium RBG-1. Its description in RNAcentral is "Bacterial large signal recognition particle RNA". It matches the Rfam family "Bacterial large signal recognition particle RNA". Rfam says of the family: The signal recognition particle (SRP) is a universally conserved ribonucleoprotein involved in the co-translational targeting of proteins to membranes. Archaeal SRP consists of a 7S RNA and homologues of the eukaryotic SRP19 and SRP54 proteins. RNAcentral also lists the same sequence under 1 other name. The record is from Rfam by way of RNAcentral. Lineage: Bacteria; Pseudomonadati; Candidatus Zixiibacteriota.